GCCGGGCGCGGUGGCGCGCGCCUGUAGUCCCAGCUACUCGGGAGGCUGAGGUGGGAGGAUCGCUUGAGUCCAGGAGUUCUGGGCUGCAGUGCGCUAUGCCGAUCGGGUGUCCGCACUAAGUUCGGCAUCAAUAUGGUGACCUCCCGGGAGCGGGGGACCACCAGGUUGCCUAAGGAGGGGUGAACCGGCCCAGGUCGGAAACGGAGCAGGUCAAAACUCCCGUGCUGAUCAGUAGUGGGAUCGCGCCUGUGAAUAGCCACUGCACUCCAGCCUGAGCAAUAUAGUGAGACCCUGUCUCU
RNAcentral lists this signal recognition particle RNA (299 nucleotides) under Chinchilla lanigera (long-tailed chinchilla). RNAcentral's name for it is "Metazoan signal recognition particle RNA (ENSCLAG00000021448.1)". It matches the Rfam family "Metazoan signal recognition particle RNA". Rfam says of the family: The signal recognition particle (SRP) is a universally conserved ribonucleoprotein. It is involved in the co-translational targeting of proteins to membranes. The eukaryotic SRP consists of a 300-nucleotide 7S RNA and six proteins: SRPs 72, 68, 54, 19, 14, and 9. The record is from RNAcentral. Lineage: Eukaryota; Metazoa; Chordata; Mammalia; Rodentia; Chinchillidae.